This 1180-nucleotide long non-coding RNA is filed under the name Lupinus angustifolius (narrow-leaved blue lupine). Its description in RNAcentral is "long non-coding RNA (LANG_LNC002545)". The record is from RNAcentral. Lineage: Eukaryota; Viridiplantae; Streptophyta; Magnoliopsida; Fabales; Fabaceae.
ACCUUCAUACAAAGAAUUGGUUUCAACUUCCACGUGCGAUAUCGAAAUGGAUGCCCUCUCUCUUCACUCCUUUAUUCUCAAGCUACACAUCACUUGUUAUUUCUGCUUCUAAUUUUGUUUAGUGAUGAUAAUAAUGAAUUAAUCUUGUAAUUAGGGAAAGUGCUCCGUCUUCAACGUCCACGUAAUCAUCUAAUGAUGUUCCUGUAGCUUCGUCUUCUCAAAAUCGCAAUGCAAUCCUUGUCAAUCACAUACAGGUAUAAUCAAAUCAAUACCGUUUAGUUUCCUAAAUACUUUAGGAUACUUCUAUUUUAUUUAACAUUUUCACUUUUGUUUUUCUAGUUUUAAUACCACUAGAGAUAGAAACGCCAUAAUAAUUAGAUUAAAGUUACAAUUUUAUUAUGAUUAAAACGACCGAUACUAAGAGUACCAACAUACGGUUUUUUUUUUUUUUUUAAGGUUAUUCUUAAUAGAAAAAGAAUAUUCUUAUAUUUACUGUAGUUCUAUAUCCAAAAACAUCAAAAUAUCUAUAAAAUUAUAUUUUUUAUUUAUAAUUAAUUUCUAAUAUUUAUAAUAAGUAAGUAAUUAUUCUUAAUAUUUUAAAAGUAUGGGUAGGUUGUGAGACCCAAUUAAAAAUAAGAAUAAUUUUUGUCAUUGUAGGAAAAAAUAUUUUAUGAAGAGUUAUAAUAAAUUAUAAAAUAAUGUGUGAGAUUCAAAUAAGAAUAAAAAUGAAAAUGUUUUUCUUUAUUGUAUAUGAUCGAACUUUUAAAACAUUGUUUCUUUCUUUUAAUAUGAUAUUGUGCUUUUAUGCCAAUCUUAUAUUGAAUCUAUAUCUUGUAUCAUAGUCCUACAUGUCCUAUAAUUUUUCAGUUUGAAAUAUCCUUAUGCCUUGUCAUACUGAAAUCAGUCCAGUUCCGGAUGAAGAUGGUGAUAUGUGUCAUGUGUUGUGUCCAUUGCUUUUGGCUACUUGAUUUUUCAUACCAUAUUGCCAUUCAACCAUGGAUUUCGUCGUGGUAUGCUCUGUCAGUAUUACUUUGGUAUAUAUAUGGAAUGCUUUUCUGUAAUUAGAACACACAAAUAUAUAUAAAUCAUAUUUCAUACCACGUGACUUUAAUUACCUUUACCUGUCUAAUUGAUGUUAUACUAUUCCAUUCUUAUCUUGUUAUACCUUGGAGAAAUGUGG